AAUCAACGCUGGCGGCGUGCCUCAGACAUGCAAGUCGAACGCGAAAGUUUCCUUCGGGGAACAAGUAGAGUGGCGCACGGGUGAGUAACACGUAGGUAAUCUACCUUUGGAUGGGGAAUAACAGCCGGAAACGGUUGCUAAUACCGCAUAAUGCAGCGGCACCUAAUGGUGACAGUUGUUAAAGCGGGGGAUCGAAAGACCUCGCGUCUGAAGAGGAGCCUGCGGCGGAUUAGCUAGNGGUAAGGUAAUGGCUUACCAAGGCUUCGAUCCGUAGCCGGCCUGAGAGGGCGGUCGGCCACACUGACACUGACAUACGGGUCAGACUCCUACGGGAGGCAGCAGUCGGGAAUUUUGGGCAAUGGGCGAAAGCCUGACCCCAGCAACGCCGCGUGAAGGAUGAAAUCCCUCGGGAUGUAAACUUCGCAAGAACGGGAAGAAUAAGCGAGAGUUAAUAUCUUUCGUGAUGACGGUACCGUUUGU
This 480-nucleotide ribosomal RNA is filed under the name uncultured bacterium. RNAcentral's name for it is "bacterial SSU rRNA". It matches the Rfam family "Bacterial small subunit ribosomal RNA", at positions 32 to 485 of the family's 1533-position model. The record is from RNAcentral.